Molecule: ribosomal RNA, 450 nt
Filed under: uncultured bacterium
Lineage: Bacteria
Description: partial 16S ribosomal RNA
Rfam family: Bacterial small subunit ribosomal RNA
Source: RNAcentral
GUGGGGAAUCUUCCGCAAUGGACGAAAGUCUGACGGAGCAACGCCGCGUGAGUGAUGAAGGUCUUCGGAUUGUAAAGCUCUGUUAAUCGGGACGAAAGAGCCUAGUGUGAAUAAUGCUAGGAAGUGACGGUACCGGAAUAGAAAGCCACGGCUAACUACGUGCCAGCAGCCGCGGUAAUACGUAGGUGGCAAGCGUUGUCCGGAAUUAUUGGGCGUAAAGCGCGCGCAGGCGGAUCUGCCAGUCUGUCUUAAAAGUUCGGGGCUUAACCCCGUAAUGGGAUGGAAACUACAGAUCUAGAGUAUCGGAGAGGAAAGUGGAAUUCCUAGUGUAGCGGUGAAAUGCGUAGAUAUUAGGAAGAACACCAGUGGCGAAGGCGACUUUCUGGACGAAAACUGACGCUGAGGCGCGAAAGCCAGGGGAGCGAACGGGAUUAGAAACCCCAGUAGUCC